This 99-nucleotide ribosomal RNA is filed under the name Notechis scutatus (mainland tiger snake). Lineage: Eukaryota; Metazoa; Chordata; Lepidosauria; Squamata; Elapidae. The record is from RNAcentral.
GUCUCCAGAAAAACUUGCCUGAUCUGGAAAAACUAAGUAGGAUCUGCCCUCUUUAGUAUUUGGAUGGGAGACCACAAGACAAUCCUGGGACUGUAGACC